CGGAGGGGCGAGUCGGAAGGUGCUGAAGACUCCCGGGCGUUUUUCCUGUGCGCGGGACGGCGGUGUUCUGCGGCCAAUCUCCGAAACUUCCACCGCAGCGGUCAGAGGCCCUGUGCCAAACCUCCUUUGUGCCUCAGGAAAGUCUUAGAACUAUAGCAGCUGUCUUGUGAUUAAAAAGUCAAGUUCUCAAGAUUUGCAGAGAAUACAACCCAGACCUUUCACAUGGACUUCAAUGAGCUGCAUCAAAACCCUGGAACCUCCUCUCUUACAGGUAACUUCCUAGAGACCAGGUCCUUCCAUGUUCUUCAUCACCAC
Nannospalax galili (Upper Galilee mountains blind mole rat) is the source of this 315-nucleotide long non-coding RNA. RefSeq lists it as uncharacterized. The transcript has 3 exons. The record is from RefSeq and is a predicted model, not a curated record. Lineage: Eukaryota; Metazoa; Chordata; Mammalia; Rodentia; Spalacidae.